Molecule: ribosomal RNA, 244 nt
Filed under: uncultured bacterium
Lineage: Bacteria
Description: partial 16S ribosomal RNA
Rfam family: Bacterial small subunit ribosomal RNA
Source: RNAcentral
UACGUAGGGUGCAAGCGUUAUCCGGAAUUAUUGGGCGUAAAGAGCUCGUAGGCGGUUUGUCGCGUCUGCUGUGAAAACUGGAGGCUCAACCUCCAGCCUGCAGUGGGUACGGGCAGACUAGAGUGCGGUAGGGGAGAUUGGAAUUCCUGGUGUAGCGGUGGAAUGCGCAGAUAUCAGGAGGAACACCAAUGGCGAAGGCAGAUCUCUGGGCCGUAACUGACGCUGAGGAGCGAAAGCAUGGGGA